Molecule: ribosomal RNA, 264 nt
Filed under: uncultured bacterium
Lineage: Bacteria
Description: partial 16S ribosomal RNA
Rfam family: Bacterial small subunit ribosomal RNA
Source: RNAcentral
GUCCACGCCAUAAACGAUGAGGACUAGACGUUGAGAGGGUUAGCCUCCCAGUGUCGUAGCUAACGCGCUAAGUCCUCCGCCUGGGGAGUACGGCCGCAAGGUUGAAACUCAAAGGAAUUGACGGGGACCCCGCACAAGCGGUGGAGCAUGUGGUUUAAUUCGAUGCAACGCGAAGAACCUUACCUGGUCUUGACAUCUACGGAAUCCCGCAGAAAUGCAGGAGUGCCGCAAGGAACCGUAAGACAGGUGCUGCAUGGCUGUCGU